GGACGAUCGCUGGCGGCGUGCCUAACACAUGCAAGUCGAACGAGGUCCAUCCAGUAGCAAUACUGGGGAAGACCUAGUGGCGAACGGGUGAGUAACACGUGAGGAACCUGCCCCGAAGACCGGGAUAACGCUCCGAAAGGAACGCUAAUACCGGAUGCCUUCACCAAGCCGCAUGACCUGGUGAAGAAAUGGAUUCCGCUUCGGGAGGGCCUCGCGGCCUAUCAGCUUGUUGGUGGGGUAAUGGCCCACCAAGGCUUCGACGGGUAGCUGGUCUGAGAGGACGAUCAGCCACACUGGGACUGAGACACGGCCCAGACUCCUACGGGAGGCAGCAGUGGGGAAUCUUGCGCAAUGGGCGAAAGCCUGACGCAGCAACGCCGCGUGGGGGAUGAAGGCUCUCGGGUUGUAAACCCCUUUCAGCAGGGACGAUCGUGACGGUACCUGCAGAAGAAGGCCCGGCCAACUACGUGCCAGCAGCCGCGGUAACACGUAGGGGCCAAGCGUUGUCCGGAUUUAUUGGGCGUAAAGAGCUCGUAGGCGGUUCGGUAAGUCGGGUGUGAAACCUCCAGGCUCAACCUGGAGACGCCACCCGAUACUGCUGUGACUCGAGUCCGGUAGGGGAGCGUGGAAUUCCUGGUGUAGCGGUGAAAUGCGCAGAUAUCAGGAGGAACACCAGCGGCGAAGGCGGCGCUCUGGGCCGGAACUGACGCUGAGGAGCGAAAGCGUGGGUAGCAAACAGGAUUAGAUACCCUGGUAGUUCACGCCGUAAACGUUGGGCACUAGGUGUGGGUCUCAACCAACGGGAUCUGUGCCGUAGCUAACGCAUUAAGUGCCCCGCCUGGGGAGUACGGCCGCAAGGCUAAAACUCAAAG
RNAcentral lists this ribosomal RNA (872 nucleotides) under uncultured bacterium. RNAcentral's name for it is "bacterial SSU rRNA". It matches the Rfam family "Bacterial small subunit ribosomal RNA", at positions 27 to 906 of the family's 1533-position model. The record is from RNAcentral.